This 375-nucleotide long non-coding RNA is filed under the name Homo sapiens (human). RNAcentral's name for it is "non-protein coding PIK3IP1-AS1:7". Lineage: Eukaryota; Metazoa; Chordata; Mammalia; Primates; Hominidae. The record is from RNAcentral.
AGCCAAGAGAUAUGCAGGUUGUGCUUAGCAGCCGAUCAGUUUGAGACCUGCGAGGCCGCAUCCCCAGGGUUUUUCAUCUCUUCUGUUUCCAUUUGUAAAGACUUGUUUGCACUAUUUCUUCUGGACCCAGACUCAUUCACUACUGAGGCCCACUCCCUUGAUGUCAAAGAAUACUGGCUGCUGUUUUUAGUUCAUCCUCACAGAAACUCAGGCUAUACCUAUCUGCUUCAGCUCAGUGCUGAUACUUCCUGCCAGUUGUGGACUGAACUUCUGAUGCAGAAAGCCUGCUAAGAAAACCUCUUCCUUGAACCAGAGCUUUCCAGAAGUCAAGAGUGGCACUGGCCUUAUGAUCUAUGAUAUGCUUUGUUGUAAAUU